Molecule: ribosomal RNA, 495 nt
Filed under: uncultured bacterium
Lineage: Bacteria
Description: partial 16S ribosomal RNA
Rfam family: Bacterial small subunit ribosomal RNA
Source: RNAcentral
AUGAACGCUGGCGGCGUGCCUAAUACCUGCAAGUCGAGCGAACAGAUGAGGAGCUUGCUCCUCUGACGUUAGCGGCGGACGGGUGAGUAACACGUGGAUAACCUACCUAUAAGACUGGGAUAACUUCGGGAAACCGGAGCUAAUACCGGAUAAUAUAUUGAACCGCAUGGUUCAAUAGUGAAAGACGGUUUUGCUGUCACUUAUAGAUGGAUCCGCGCCGCAUUAGCUAGUUGGUAAGGUAACGGCUUACCAAGGCAACGAUGCGUAGCCGACCUGAGAGGGUGAUCGGCCACACUGGAACUGAGACACGGUCCAGACUCCUACGGGAGGCAGCAGUAGGGAAUCUUCCGCAAUGGGCGAAAGCCUGACGGAGCAACGCCGCGUGAGUGAUGAAGGUCUUCGGAUCGUAAAACUCUGUUAUUAGGGAAGAACAAAUGUGUAAGUAACUAUGCACGUCUUGACGGUACCUAAUCAGAAAGCCACGGCUAACUACGU